Long non-coding RNA from Ficedula albicollis (Collared flycatcher), 997 nucleotides. The record is from Ensembl. Lineage: Eukaryota; Metazoa; Chordata; Aves; Passeriformes; Muscicapidae.
CUUGAUUUUCAUUUGCAUCCUUCUGCAGCAUCUGGUACAAGUCUCUUUCUCAGUCACCUGAGCACUUUUACCAACUAGCAUUCCUUCUAUUCUUCCUGUAGGACAGGUUGAUGUCACACAAUGUCUUUCACACUUUUCCAAUGGCACAUAAUAGUUUUCAAGGAUUUGUGUGUUUUCAGUUUUUCAACACAGAGUCCACACUGGUUUCAUAUGUGAUGAGGAGAAAAGCAAACAGUGGAGAACAGCAGUAGAUACGACACAGAAAAGCAAGAAAGAAAAAUUAAGGACUAAAAGACAGAGCUGUUUCUAAAACAUCAGGUAAGGAAUUCAGGUGACUCUCUAUAUAUAAAGUGUAAAACGUACAAAGAAUUGUGCCAAACAGUUUACCCUGCCCUUCCUAGUAUUUCUGCAAAUUUCUUCUAUAUGUGCCUAGGACAUAUGUACACACACAAUACAUAUACCUUACUACCUCCACUUAGACAAUGAAUUUACUUUUUGAGCAAAAUUGCUGUUACCCUCAGUGCAAAUAUUUUUUAUACUGGUAUCCUACAUUUCCUUUAAUAAAAUCCAUUUCCUGUAUUUUUUUUAUUUCCUUUAAAUAAUCCAUUGUACCAGUUGCUAUAGAAGCCAACUGAAUAGUGGUUUGACAGAGGAGUAAAAGUGAGUUGUGCUAUGUGUGCUCCUGUUCCUUCUCAACAGCCCCAAACCUUACAAUGUCCUGUCCUCAAACUGAUCUCUUGAGGCAUUACAAGCACGCUGCAGCAAAGCACCAUCUGUUAUCACCCACCCCACCCUUCCUACAGGUGACAGAUGGAAAGUUUGUUUAGAGCUUGGGCACACUUACAUUUCCUAAGCAUGACCAGAGAGGAGUAGAAAUAUAUUUACCAAAGAUGAACAGGGAAGAACAAUUCAUCCUAUCCUCUUCUGCUCUCCUGCUUUGGAGAGAAGUUGCUGCAUUGCUUGCAGUGUCACAGUGGGAGCAUGUGGUGGUGGAGAC